RNAcentral lists this ribosomal RNA (749 nucleotides) under uncultured Methanocalculus sp. RNAcentral's name for it is "bacterial SSU rRNA". It matches the Rfam family "Archaeal small subunit ribosomal RNA", at positions 102 to 856 of the family's 1478-position model. The record is from RNAcentral. Lineage: Archaea; Methanobacteriati; Methanobacteriota; Methanomicrobia; Methanomicrobiales; Methanocalculaceae.
GGAUAAUCUGCCCUCAGGUGAGGAAUAAUCCCGGGAAACUGGGGCUAAUGCCUCAUAGGAGACGGGUGCUGGAAUGCUCUGUCUCCCAAAGGUCCGCCGCCUGAGGAUGAGUCUGCGUCCGAUUAGGUAGUUGUUGGGGUAACGGCCCAACAAGCCUUUGAUCGGUACGGGUUGUGGGAGCAAGAGCCCGGAGAUGGAUUCUGAGACAUGAAUCCAGGCCCUACGGGGCGCAGCAGGCGCGAAAACUUUACAAUGCGAGCAAUCGUGAUAAGGAAACCCUGAGUGCCUGUCAAUGCAGGCUGUUCUGGUGUCUAACACACACCAGGAGAAAGGGCGGGGCAAGACCGGUGCCAGCCGCCGCGGUAAUACCGGCUGCUCGAGUGAUAGCCACUUUUACUGGGCUUAAAGCGUUCGUAGCUUGGUCGUUAAGUCUCUGGGGAAAUCUUUUGGCUCAACCAAAAGACGUCUCAGGGAAACUGGCGAUCUUGGAACCGGGAGAGGUAAGACGUACUUCGGGGUUAGGAGUGAAAUCUUGUAAUCCCCGAGGGACGACCGAUGGCGAAGGCAUCUUACCAGAACGGCUUCGACAGUGAGGGACGAAAGCUGGGGGAGCAAACCGGAUUAGAUACCCGGGUAGUCCCAGCCGUAAACGAUGUGCGUUAGGUGUGUCAGUGACCACGAGUCGCUGAGGUGCCGAAGGGAAACCGUGAAACGCACCGCCUGGGAAGUACGGUCGCAAGGCUGAAACU